CCUGUAUAACUCAGGUUGGUGCGGGAUGUGGCUUUCACGGCUGAACCGUUAA
Molecule: non-coding RNA, 52 nt
Filed under: unclassified sequences
Source: RNAcentral